Molecule: ribosomal RNA, 253 nt
Filed under: uncultured bacterium
Lineage: Bacteria
Description: partial 16S ribosomal RNA
Rfam family: Bacterial small subunit ribosomal RNA
Source: RNAcentral
UACGGAGGAUGCAAGCGUUAUCCGGAAUGAUUGGGCGUAAAGCGUCCGCAGGUGGCUAUGUAAGUCUGCUGUUAAAGAGUGAGGCUCAACCUCAUAAAAGCAGUGGAAACUACAUGGCUAGAGUGCGUUCGGGGCAGAGGGAAUUCCUGGUGUAGCGGUGAAAUGCGUAGAGAUCAGGAAGAACACCGGUGGCGAAAGCGCUCUGCUAGGCCGUAACUGACACUCAUGGACGAAAGCUAGGGGAGCGAAUGGG